UACGUAGGGUGCAAGCGUUGUCCGGAAUUAUUGGGCGUAAAGAGCUCGUAGGCGGUCUGUCGCGUCGAAUGUGAAAAUCCGGGGCUCAACCCCGGACUUGCAGUGGGUACGGGCAGACUAGAGUGUGGUAGGGGAGACUGGAAUUCCUGGUGUAGCGGUGGAAUGCGCAGAUAUCAGGAGGAACACCGAUGGCGAAGGCAGGUCUCUGGGCCACUACUGACGCUGAGAAGCGAAAGCAUGGGGAGCGAACAGG
This 253-nucleotide ribosomal RNA is filed under the name uncultured bacterium. Its description in RNAcentral is "partial 16S ribosomal RNA". It matches the Rfam family "Bacterial small subunit ribosomal RNA", at positions 524 to 776 of the family's 1533-position model. The record is from RNAcentral.